GUUCUCAGUUCGGAUUGUAGGCUGCAACUCGCCUACAUGAAGUCGGAAUCGCUAGUAAUCGCGGAUCAGCAUGCCGCGGUGAAUACGUUCCCGGGCCUUGUACACACCGCCCGUCACACCAUGAGAGUUUGUAACACCCAAAGCCGGUGGGGUAACCUUUUGGAGCCAGCCGUCUAAGGUGGGACAGAUGAUUGGGGUGAAGUCGUAACAAGGUAGC
RNAcentral lists this ribosomal RNA (217 nucleotides) under uncultured bacterium. RNAcentral describes it as "partial 16S ribosomal RNA". It matches the Rfam family "Bacterial small subunit ribosomal RNA", at positions 1284 to 1500 of the family's 1533-position model. The record is from RNAcentral.